RNAcentral lists this ribosomal RNA (433 nucleotides) under uncultured bacterium. Its description in RNAcentral is "partial 16S ribosomal RNA". It matches the Rfam family "Bacterial small subunit ribosomal RNA", at positions 29 to 507 of the family's 1533-position model. The record is from RNAcentral.
AACGAACGCUGGCGGCAUGCCUAACACAUGCAAGUCGAACGAAACCUCCGGGUCUUGUGGCGAAUGGGUGCGUAACGCGACGGAACCUGCCCUUAUGGUCGGAAUACCUCCCCGUCAGGGGUGCUAAUCCCGGACAAUGUCUACGGACCGAAGAUUUAUCGCCUUUGGAUGUGCCCGCGUUGGAUUAGUUAGUUGUUAGGGUAAAAGCCUACCAAGGUGACGAUUCAUAGCUGGGCUGUGAGACUGCUUAGCCACACUGGGACUGAGACACGGCCCAGACGCCUACGGGAGGCGGCAGUGGGGAAUAUUGGACAGUGGGCGAAAGGCUGAUGCAGCAAUGCCACGUGAGUGAUGAAGGCCUUAGGGUUGUAAAGCGCUUUUACCCGGGAUGAUAAUGACAGUACCGGGUGAAUAAGCACCGGCUAACUCCGUG